This 433-nucleotide ribosomal RNA is filed under the name uncultured bacterium. Its description in RNAcentral is "partial 16S ribosomal RNA". It matches the Rfam family "Bacterial small subunit ribosomal RNA", at positions 29 to 507 of the family's 1533-position model. The record is from RNAcentral.
AACGAACGCUGGCGGCAUGCCUAACACAUGCAAGUCGAACGAGACCUUCGGGCCUAGUGGCGCACGGGUGCGUAACGCGUGGGAACCUGCCCUUAGGUUCGGAAUAACUCCCCGAAAGGGGUGCUAAUACCGGAUAAUGUCUUCGGACCAAAGAUUUAUCGCCUUUGGAUGGGCCCGCGUUGGAUUAGCUGGUUGGUAGGGUAAAAGCCUACCAAGGCGACGAUCCAUAGCUGGUCUGAGAGGAUGAUCAGCAACAAUGGGACUGAGACACGGCCCAGACUCCUACGGAAGGCAGCAGUGGGGAAUAUUGGACGAUGGGCGAAAGCGUGAUCCAGCAAUGCGGCGUGAGUGAUGAAGGCCUUAGGGUUGUAAAGCUCUUUUACCCGGGAUGAUAAUGACAGUACCGGGAGAAUAAGCUCCGGCUAACUCCGUG